This 202-nucleotide long non-coding RNA is filed under the name Lathyrus oleraceus (garden pea). Its description in RNAcentral is "Pisum sativum (pea) long non-coding RNA (PSAT_LNC005163)". The record is from RNAcentral. Lineage: Eukaryota; Viridiplantae; Streptophyta; Magnoliopsida; Fabales; Fabaceae.
AACAUCUGAACCCCAAGCCCUCACAUAUGAGCUUUGGACAAAUCACUAGUCCUAACAUCUGAACUUGUGACUCACCUCUUUCACAACAACGACAACAUAUGACGCAUGUGCAAUAUAAUGCACAACCACAAUAACUCAACAUCAUAUUUACAAUUCCACAUCUAACUGUAAAUAACAACAUCAAAGUAAUCCCCACAGUUGG